RNAcentral lists this ribosomal RNA (603 nucleotides) under Leucocoprinus gongylophorus. RNAcentral's name for it is "eukaryotic LSU rRNA". It matches the Rfam family "Eukaryotic large subunit ribosomal RNA", at positions 1 to 601 of the family's 3401-position model. Lineage: Eukaryota; Fungi; Basidiomycota; Agaricomycetes; Agaricales; Agaricaceae. The record is from RNAcentral.
UUGACCUCAAAUCAGGUGGGACUACCCGCUGAACUUAAGCAUAUCAAUAAGCGGAGGAAAAGAAACUAACAAGGAUUCCCUUAGUAACUGCGAGUGAAGUGGGAAGAGCUCAAAUUUGAAAUCUGGCAGUCUCUGGCUGUCCGAGUUGUAAUCUAGAGAAGUGUUGCCCGCGCUGGACCGUGUACAAGUCUCCUGGGAUGGAGCGUCAUAGAGGGUGAGAAUCCCGUCUCUGACAUGGACUACCAGGGCUUUUGUGGUGCGCUCUCAAAGAGUCGAGUUGUUUGGGAAUGCAGCUCAAAAUGGGUGGUAAAUUCCAUCUAAAGCUAAAUAUUGGCGAGAGACCGAUAGUGAACAAGUACCGUGAGGAAAGAUGAAAAGAACUUUGGAAAGAGAGUUAAACAGUACGUGAAAUUGCUGAAAGGGAAACGCUUGAAGUCAGUCGCGUUGGCCAGGGAUCAGCCUUGCUUCUUAGUGUGGUGUACUUCCUGGUUGACGGGUCAGCAUCGGUUUCGACUGCUGGAGAAAGGCUUGGGGAAUGUGGCAGCUCUGGCUGUGUUAUAGCCUCCUGUCAGAUACAGUGGUUGGGACCGAGGAACGCAGCAU